RNAcentral lists this long non-coding RNA (681 nucleotides) under Ananas comosus (pineapple). RNAcentral's name for it is "long non-coding RNA (ACOM_LNC024901)". The record is from RNAcentral. Lineage: Eukaryota; Viridiplantae; Streptophyta; Magnoliopsida; Poales; Bromeliaceae.
UACUCGAGCUCGACUCGAAAUUAAAUGAGCUGAGCUUGAACAAAAUAAAAGGCUCGAAAUUCAUUUCAAGCCGAGCUUGAGUAUUACUCGGCUCGUUCGAAUUAGGCUCGAAAAGCUCGAAAGCUCGAAAUAUAUAUAUAUAUAUAUAUAAAAUAUAUUUUAAUUAUAUAUAGGCUUUAAUUAAAUUUGGGCCAUUAUUGUUGGCCCAUAAAAUAAACCCAAUAAGUACAACCGUGCAAUUGAGCCCAACUCUAAAUUUACAUAAUACACUCUCUCUUUCAGACUUUCACUGUUGCACAUAACCCUAAAGCAUGAUAAUAUUCAAAUUUUCAAAUCCCUAAUUUUUUUUCCUCUCUCUCUCUCUCUCUCUCACCCUUACCCAGUCAGGCAGUCACCCUAGCUCACAUUUCUUACAAUUAUUUUGUAUUUUGAACUAUUGAACAUGUUGCAUCAAAUUAUAGGUAAUGUUCUAUAAAAAUUAAACUAUUGAUUAUAUAAUGUCGAGAAUUUCAAUCGGCUCGUUUAGAGCUCGAGCUCGGCUCGACUCGAAAUUAGGCUCGCUCGAGCUCGGCUCGAAUUAAUUUCAAGCCGAGCUUGAACCUAGAUUUAGGCUCGAAAUUAAUUUCAAGCCGAAUUUGAGCUGACAUAAGCUCGCUCGAGCUCGGCUCGUUUCCACCCCUA